AUGGUGUCGGGCGGGUGCGUGGGGACGGAAGGGGGCGCGGAGCCGGAGGAGUCCGCGGCGGUAGCGGCGGAGGAGCAGGUGAUGCCGGCGACGGCGCCCGCGCGCGCCAGGGAGCUGGUGGUCGGGUACGCGCUCACGUCCAAGAAGGCCAAGAGCUUCCUCCAGCCCAAGCUCCGGGGGCUCGCCAGGAAGAAAGGCAUUCAAUUUGUUGCAAUUGAUCAAAAGCUUCCACUGUCAGAUCAAGGCCCUUUUGAUGUUAUUCUGCAUAAGUUGACUGGAAAGGAGUGGCAACGACGGUUGGAGGAAUAUAGAGAGACACACCCAGAAGUUACUGUUCUUGACCCACCAGGUGCCAUAGAACAUUUGCUGAACCGCCAAUCUAUGCUUCAAGAAGUUUCUAAACUGGACCUUGCGGAUUGUCAUGGUAAAGUUGGUGUUCCGAAGCAGCUAUUUGUUAACACAGACCCAUUGUCAAUACCAGCUGCGGUUAUGAGGGCUGGGCUAUCGCUUCCAUUAGUGGCGAAGCCUCUGGUGGCGAAGUCUCAUGAGUUGUCUCUUGCUUAUGACGCAGCUUCCUUGACGAAGCUUGAGCCUCCGUUGGUUCUUCAGGAAUUUGUUAACCAUGGCGGCGUCUUAUUUAAGGUCUACAUUGUUGGGGAUGCAAUUAGGGUAGUGCGUAGGUUCUCACUGCCUAACGUGGAUGAGGGUGAUCUGUCAAAUAACGCCGGAGUGUUCCGGUUUCCGAGGGUCUCUUGUGCUGCAGCCACUGCGGAGGAUGCAGAUCUUGACCCGCAUGUUGCUGAACUUCCUCCAAGGCCACUGCUUGAGAUAUUGGCAAGAGAGCUGCGCCGCCGACUGGGUCUUAGGCUAUUCAACAUAGAUAUGAUCAGAGAGCAUGGGACAAGGGAUCGGUUUUAUGUUAUAGACAUGAACUAUUUUCCUGGGUAUGGUAAGAUGCCUGGAUACGAGCAUGUUUUCACCGACUUCCUGCUGAGCCUAGACCAGCAGAAGGAGUACAAGCGACGACCGGGCUAUACCUCGGGCGAGGGCUGA
RNAcentral lists this ribosomal RNA (1053 nucleotides) under Triticum aestivum (bread wheat). Its description in RNAcentral is "partial small subunit ribosomal RNA". The record is from RNAcentral. Lineage: Eukaryota; Viridiplantae; Streptophyta; Magnoliopsida; Poales; Poaceae.